GACGAACGCUGGCGGCGUGCUUAACACAUGCAAGUCGCACGGAAAGGCCCUGCUUUUGUGGGGUGCUCGAGUGGCGAACGGGUGAGUAACACGUGAGUAACCUGCCCUUGACUUUGGGAUAACUUCAGGAAACUGGGGCUAAUACCGGAUAGGAGCUCCUGCUGCAUGGUGGGGGUUGGAAAGUUUCGGCGGUUGGGGAUGGACUCGCGGCUUAUCAACUUGUUGGUGGGGUAGUGGCUUACCAAGGCUUUGACGGGUAGCCGGCCUGAGAGGGUGACCGGCCACAUUGGGACUGAGAUACGGCCCAGACUCCUACGGGAGGCAGCAGUGGGGAAUAUUGCACAAUGGGCGGAAGCCUGAUGCAGCAACGCCGCGUGCGGGAUGACGGCCUUCGGGUUGUAAACCGCUUUCGCCUGUGACGAAGCGUGAGUGACGGUAAUGGGUAAAGAAGCACCGGCUAACUACGUG
This 468-nucleotide ribosomal RNA is filed under the name uncultured bacterium. Its description in RNAcentral is "partial 16S ribosomal RNA". It matches the Rfam family "Bacterial small subunit ribosomal RNA", at positions 28 to 507 of the family's 1533-position model. The record is from RNAcentral.